CCUGGCUUAGGAUGAACGCUGGCGGCGUGCUUAACACAUGCAAGUCGAACGAAGCACCUCUAAUCGAAGAUUGAGAAAGCUUGCUUUGAUGAUCACCUUGAGGUGACUGAGUGGCGGACGGGUGAGUAACGCGUGGGUAACCUACCCUAUACAGGGGGAUAACAGUUGGAAACGACUGCUAAUACCGCAUAAGCGCACAGGACCGCAUGGUCUAGUGUGAAAAACUCCGGUGGUAUAGGAUGGACCCGCGUCUGAUUAGCUAGUUGGUGAGGUAACGGCUCACCAAGGCGACGAUCAGUAGCCGACCUGAGAGGGUGACCGGCCACAUUGGGACUGAGACACGGCCCAAACUCCUACGGGAGGCAGCAGUGGGGAAUAUUGCACAAUGGGCGAAAGCCUGAUGCAGCGACGCCGCGUGAACGAAGAAGUAUUUCGGUAUGUAAAGUUCUAUCAGCAGGGAAGAAAAAUGACGGUACCUGACUAAGAAGCUCCGGCUAAAUACGUGCCAGCCGCAGC
RNAcentral lists this ribosomal RNA (516 nucleotides) under uncultured bacterium. Its description in RNAcentral is "bacterial SSU rRNA". It matches the Rfam family "Bacterial small subunit ribosomal RNA", at positions 18 to 518 of the family's 1533-position model. The record is from RNAcentral.